RNAcentral lists this ribosomal RNA (946 nucleotides) under marine metagenome. Its description in RNAcentral is "bacterial SSU rRNA". It matches the Rfam family "Bacterial small subunit ribosomal RNA", at positions 8 to 1002 of the family's 1533-position model. The record is from RNAcentral.
AGAGUUUGAUCAUGGCUCAGAACGUACGCUGGCGGCACGCCUUAUACAUGCAAGUCGAACGGAGUAGCAAUACUUAGUGGCAGACGGGUGAGUAACAUGUAGGUAUCUUCCCUUUGGUGAGGAAUAACACGAGGAAACUUGUGCUAAUACCUCAUAAGUCUUUACAGAGAAAGCUUUAUGCGCCAUUGGAUGAGCCUGCACUUGAUUAGUUUGUUGGUGGGGUAAUGGCCUACCAAGACUUUGAUCAAUAGCUGAUUUGAGAGGAUGAUCAGCCACAUUGGGACUGAGACACGGCCCAAACUCCUACGGGAGGCAGCAGUAGGGAAUCUUGCACAAUGGAGGAAACUCUGAUGCAGCGAUGCCGCGUGAGUGAAGAAGGCCCUUGGGUUGUAAAGCUCUUUCGUCGGGGAAGAAAAUGACUGUACCCGAAUAAGAAGGUCCGGCUAACUUCGUGCCAGCAGCCGCGGUAAUACGAAGGGACCUAGCGUAGUUCGGAAUUACUGGGCUUAAAGAGUUCGUAGGUGGUUAAAAAAGUUGGUGGUGAAAUCCCAGAGCUUAACUCUGGAACUGCCAUCAAAACUUUUUAGCUAGAGUAUGAUAGAGGAAAGCAGAAUUUCUAGUGUAGAGGUGAAAUUCGUAGAUAUUAGAAAGAAUACCAAUUGCGAAGGCAGCUUUCUGGAUCAUUACUGACACUGAGGAACGAAAGCAUGGGUAGCGAAGAGGAUUAGAUACCCUCGUAGUCCAUGCCGUAAACGAUGUGUGUUAGACGUUGGAAAUUUAUUUUCAGUGUCGCAGCGAAAGCAAUAAACACACCGCCUGGGGAGUACGACCGCAAGGUUAAAACUCAAAUGAAUUGACGGGGACCCGCACAAGUAGUGGAGCAUGUGGUUUAAUUCGAAGAUACGCGCAGAAACUUACCAACACUUGACAUGUUCGUCGCGACUCU